This is a long non-coding RNA of Sinocyclocheilus anshuiensis, 389 nucleotides long. RefSeq lists it as uncharacterized. Lineage: Eukaryota; Metazoa; Chordata; Actinopteri; Cypriniformes; Cyprinidae. The record is from RefSeq and is a predicted model, not a curated record. The transcript is spliced from 3 exons.
UGGGAAGGAGAACCCUGGAUGGAAACGCGCGUGUGUAGAGGAAAAUAAGUACACAAUGUUUCCAUGAAAAGAGUCAAGGCUGACUUUGUAACCAAAGCGGAAUUAUAAGCAAACUCUUGAGUGAGAGAAACUGAAAUAUUCCACUCUCCAUCCUUCCUGGAUCCCAUCAUGAGCUACAGGAAGAUGGACAAGCAUGGAAGCCCACAGUAUUGCCGCCAUUUUCUGGCUGACAACAGCAUCUUCCAUGUUGAGCGAUGCAUGAGUGUGAUGCAGUCGGGGACUCAGAUGGUGAAGCUGAAGAAUGGUUCUAAAGGUCUGGUCCGGCUCUUCUAUUUGGAUGAACACCGUUCCUGCAUCCGCUGGAGACCGUCUCGCAAGAGUGAGAAAGC